GACGAACGCUGGCGGCGUGCUUAACACAUGCAAGUCGAACGGAAAGGCCCUGCUUGCAGGGUACUCGAGUGGCGAACGGGUGAGUAACACGUGGGUGAUCUGCCCUGCACUUCGGGAUAAGCCUGGGAAACUGGGUCUAAUACCGGAUAGGAGCCAUUUUUAGUGUGAUGGUUGGAAAGUUUUUUCGGUGUAGGAUGAGCUCGCGGCCUAUCAGCUUGUUGGUGGGGUAAUGGCCUACCAAGGCGGCGACGGGUAGCCGGCCUGAGGGGGUGGACGGCCACAUUGGGACUGAGAUACGGCACAGACUCCUACGGGAGGCAGCAGUGGGGAAUAUUGCACAAUGGGCGCAAGCCUGAUGCAGCGACGCCGCGUGGGGGAUGACGGCCUUCGGGUUGUAAACUCCUUUCGCUAGGGACGAAGCUUUUUGUGACGGUACCUAGAUAAGAAGCACCGGCUAACUACGUG
Molecule: ribosomal RNA, 465 nt
Filed under: uncultured bacterium
Lineage: Bacteria
Description: partial 16S ribosomal RNA
Rfam family: Bacterial small subunit ribosomal RNA
Source: RNAcentral